This 253-nucleotide ribosomal RNA is filed under the name uncultured bacterium. RNAcentral's name for it is "partial 16S ribosomal RNA". It matches the Rfam family "Bacterial small subunit ribosomal RNA", at positions 524 to 776 of the family's 1533-position model. The record is from RNAcentral.
UACGUAGGGGUCGAGCGUUGUCCGGAGUUACUGGGCGUAAAGCGUGCGCAGGCGGCUUGUUGCGCCCGGCGUGAAAGCCCCCGGCUCAACUGGGGAGGGUCACGCGAUACUGAUCGACUCGAAGGCAGGAGAGGGAAGUGGAAUUCCCGGUGUAGUGGUGAAAUGCGUAGAUAUCGGGAGGAACACCAGUGGCGAAGGCGACUUCCUGGCCUGUUCUUGACGCUGAGGCGCGAAAGCUAGGGGAGCAAACGGG